GUGAGGAAUAUUGCGCAAUGGAGGCAACUCUGACGCAGCCAUGCCGCGUGCAGGAAGAAGGCGCUACGCGUUGUAAACUGCUUUUAACCGGGAAGAAACCCCAGGACGUGUCCUGGGUUGACGGUACCGGAGGAAUAAGCACCGGCUAACUUCGUGCCAGCAGCCGCGGUAAUACGAAGGGUGCAAGCGUUAUCCGGAUUCAUUGGGUUUAAAGGGUGCGUAGGCGGAGCGUUAAGUCAGUGGUGAAAUCCUGCAGCUUAACUGUAGACUUGCCAUUGAUGCUGGCGCUCUUGAGUGCGCUUGAAGUGGGCGGAAUGUGCCGUGUAGCGGUGAAAUGCUUAGAUAUGGCACAGAACACCAAUUGCGAAGGCAGCUCACUAAGGCGAUACUGACGCUGAGGCACGAAAGCGUGGGGAUCGAACAGGAUUAGAAACCCGUGUAGUCC
This 445-nucleotide ribosomal RNA is filed under the name uncultured bacterium. RNAcentral's name for it is "partial 16S ribosomal RNA". It matches the Rfam family "Bacterial small subunit ribosomal RNA", at positions 354 to 796 of the family's 1533-position model. The record is from RNAcentral.